RNAcentral lists this ribosomal RNA (301 nucleotides) under uncultured bacterium. Its description in RNAcentral is "partial 16S ribosomal RNA". It matches the Rfam family "Bacterial small subunit ribosomal RNA", at positions 509 to 807 of the family's 1533-position model. The record is from RNAcentral.
CAGUAGCCGCGGUAAUACGUAGGUGGCAAGCGUUGUCCGGAAUUAUUGGGCGUAAAGGGCUCGCAGGCGGUUUCUUAAGUCUGAUGUGAAAGCCCCCGGCUCAACCGGGGAGGGUCAUUGGAAACUGGGAAACUUGAGUGCAGAAGAGGAGAGUGGAAUUCCACGUGUAGCGGUGAAAUGCGUAGAGAUGUGGAGGAACACCAGUGGCGAAGGCGGCUCUCUGGUCUGUAACUGACGCUGAGGAGCGAAAGCGUGGGGAGCGAACAGGAUUAGAUACCCCGGUAGUCCCUGUCUCUUAUAC